Molecule: ribosomal RNA, 253 nt
Filed under: uncultured bacterium
Lineage: Bacteria
Description: partial 16S ribosomal RNA
Rfam family: Bacterial small subunit ribosomal RNA
Source: RNAcentral
UACGUAGGGUGCAAGCGUUGUCCGGAAUUAUUGGGCGUAAAGAGCUCGUAGGCGGUUCGUCGCGUCGGCUGUGAAAACCCGGGGCUCAACUUCGGGCUUGCAGUCGAUACGGGCAGGCUAGAGUUCGGUAGGGGAGACUGGAAUUCCUGGUGUAGCGGUGAAAUGCGCAGAUAUCAGGAGGAACACCGAUGGCGAAGGCAGGUCUCUGGGCCGAUACUGACGCUGAGGAGCGAAAGCGUGGGGAGCGAACAGG